This 229-nucleotide unclassified non-coding RNA is filed under the name plant metagenome. RNAcentral's name for it is "partial contains small subunit ribosomal RNA, internal transcribed spacer 1, and 5.8S ribosomal RNA". The record is from RNAcentral.
UCUCCGUAGGUGAACCUGCGGAGGGAUCAUUACAGAGUUCAUGCCCUACCGGGUAGAUCUCCCACCCUAUGUUAUUAUUACUUUGUUGCUUUGGCGGGCCGUUAGGAUCCGGCACGACUACCGGCCCCGGCUGGUAAGCGCCCGCCAGAGGACCCAAAACCCUGAAUAUUAGUGUCGUCUGAGUACUAUAUAAUAGUUAAAACUUUCAACAACGGAUCUCUUGGUCCUG